RNAcentral lists this ribosomal RNA (253 nucleotides) under uncultured bacterium. Its description in RNAcentral is "partial 16S ribosomal RNA". It matches the Rfam family "Bacterial small subunit ribosomal RNA", at positions 524 to 776 of the family's 1533-position model. The record is from RNAcentral.
UACGGGGGGGGCUAGCGUUGUUCGGAAUUACUGGGCGUAAAGCGCACGUAGGCGGCUUUGUAAGUUAGAGGUGAAAGCCCGGGGCUCAACUCCGGAAUUGCCUUUAAGACUGCAUCGCUAGAAUUGUGGAGAGGUAAGUGGAAUUCCGAGUGUAGAGGUGAAAUUCGUAGAUAUUCGGAAGAACACCAGUGGCGAAGGCGACUUACUGGACACAUAUUGACGCUGAGGUGCGAAAGCGAGGGGAGCAAACAGG